UACGGAGGGGGCUAGCGUUAUUCGGAAUCAUUGGGCGUAAAGGGCGUGUAGGCGGCUUUGUAAGUCCCGUGUGGAAGCCCUCGGCUCAACCGAGGAAUUGCAUGGGAAACUGCGGAGCUUGAGUCCGGGAGAGGAGAGCGGAAUUCCCAGUGUAGCGGUGAAAUGCGUAGAUACUGGGAGGAACACCGGUGGCGAAGGCGGCUCUCUGGACCGGUACUGACGCUGAGACGCGAAAGCUAGGGGAGCAAACGGG
Molecule: ribosomal RNA, 253 nt
Filed under: uncultured bacterium
Lineage: Bacteria
Description: partial 16S ribosomal RNA
Rfam family: Bacterial small subunit ribosomal RNA
Source: RNAcentral